RNAcentral lists this microRNA precursor (61 nucleotides) under Drosophila virilis. RNAcentral's name for it is "microRNA dvi-mir-9544b precursor". Lineage: Eukaryota; Metazoa; Arthropoda; Insecta; Diptera; Drosophilidae. The record is from miRBase by way of RNAcentral.
UGCGCGGCGGCUCUUUUAACGAGUGUAACAAAAACUCGUUAUAAAAGACCACUGUGCAAAU